UGGUCGUGUUGGGGUAUCUGUCUGGUCGUGUUGGGGUGUCUGUCUGGUAGUGUUGGGGUGUCUGUCUGAUAGUGUUGGGGUGUCUGUCUGGUCGUGUUGGGGUGUCUGUCUGGUAGUGUUGGGUGUCUGUCUGAUAGUGUUGAGGUGUCUGUCUGGUACUGUUGGGGUGUCUGUCUGAUAGUGUUCGGAUGUCUGUCUGAUAGUGUUGGGGUGUCUGUCUGAUAGUGUUGAGGAGUCUGUCUGGUAGUGUUGGGGUGUCUGUCUGAUAGUGUUGAGGUGUCUGUCUGGUAGUGUUGGGGUGUCUGUCUGUUAGUGUUGGGGUGUCUGUCUGAUAGUGUUGGGGUAUCUGUCUGGUCGUGUUGAGGUGUCUGUCUGGUAGUUUUGGGGUGUCUGUCUGAUAGUGUUGGGUGUCUGUCUGGUCGUGUUGGUGUGUCUGUCUGGUAGUGUUGGGUGUCUGUCUGAUAGUGUUGAGGAGUCUGUCUGGUAGUGUUGGGGUGUCUGUCUGGUAGUGUUGGGGUGUCUGUCUGAUAGUGUUGGGGUGUCUGUCUGAUAGUGUUGGGCUGUCUGUCUGGUCGUGUUGGGGUAUCUGUCUGGUCGUGUUGGGGUGUCUGUCUGGUAGUGUUGGGGUGUCUGUCUGAUAGUGUUGGGGUGUCUGUCUGGUCGUGUUGGUGUGUCUGUCUGGUAGUGUUGGGUGUCUGUCUGAUAGUGUUGAGGAGUCUGUCUGGUAGUGUUGGGGUGUCUGUCUGGUAGUGUUGGGGUGUCUGUCUGAUAGUGUUGGGGUGUCUGUCUGGUCGUGUUGGG
Molecule: long non-coding RNA, 801 nt
Filed under: Salmo salar (Atlantic salmon)
Lineage: Eukaryota; Metazoa; Chordata; Actinopteri; Salmoniformes; Salmonidae
Description: lncRNA (ENSSSAG00000083765.1)
Source: RNAcentral